RNAcentral lists this ribosomal RNA (276 nucleotides) under uncultured bacterium. RNAcentral describes it as "partial 16S ribosomal RNA". It matches the Rfam family "Bacterial small subunit ribosomal RNA", at positions 334 to 607 of the family's 1533-position model. The record is from RNAcentral.
AUGGCCUACGGGGGGCAGCAGUGAGGAAUAUUGGUCAAUGGCCGGGAGGCUGAACCAGCCAAGUCGCGUGAGGGAAGACGGCCCUACGGGUUGUAAACCUCUUUUGUCAGGGAGCAAGGUGCAGGUCGGGACCUGCUGUGAGAGUACCUGAAGAAAAAGCAUCGGCUAACUCCGUGCCAGCAGCCGCGGUAAUACGGAGGAUGCGAGCGUUAUCCGGAUUUAUUGGGUGUAAAGGGCGUGUAGGCGGGAGCGCAAGUCAGAUGUGAAAACUCAGGG